Molecule: unclassified non-coding RNA, 168 nt
Filed under: uncultured Phialemonium
Lineage: Eukaryota; Fungi; Ascomycota
Description: sequence contains ITS1
Source: RNAcentral
CCGAGUUAUUCAACUCCCAAAACCCUGUGAACUUUACCAAUGUUGCUUCGGCGGAGUCGUCCCGGGUGCGCUCGAAAGGGCGUGUCCCGGAUCCAUGGCGCCCGCCGGGGGAUCUAUACUCUUGUUUUUAUAGUGGUAUCUUCUGAGUGGCAUAAGCAAAAUAAAUCA